RNAcentral lists this ribosomal RNA (253 nucleotides) under uncultured bacterium. Its description in RNAcentral is "partial 16S ribosomal RNA". It matches the Rfam family "Bacterial small subunit ribosomal RNA", at positions 524 to 776 of the family's 1533-position model. The record is from RNAcentral.
UACGUAGGGACCGAGCGUUGUCCGGAAUCAUUGGGCGUAAGAGCGUGUAGGCGGCCACUUAAGUCCUGCGUGAAAUCUUGCGGCUCAACCGCAAGCGGUCGUGGGAAACUGGGUGGCUAGAGUGCGGGAGAGGAGAGUGGAAUUCCUGGUGUAGCGGUGGAAUGCGCAGAUAUCAGGAAGAACACCCGUGGCGAAAGCGGCUCACUGGACCACAACUGACGCUGAGGCGCGAAAGCUAGGGGGAGCAAACAGG